UCUUUUCUCCUUCUCUCUCUCUUAAUUAAUAUAAUAAAAAAACAAAACUUAUAAAUGUAACAUACAAAAUGGCAACUUUUCUCAACCUUCACCUUAAAAUCACCAAACCCCCCUAAAAUCAAACAAAUAAUCAACGCCUCACUUCCUUAAAUUCACUCACAAAGAAGGAAAUACAUAUAGGGGCAACAAAAAUUUCCAAAAAAUAUUAUAUCCAACCCACUUCUCCAAUACUUAAUUUUUCAACAAUCCCAGAUAAUUAAAAACAUAAAAUAGCUCAUAUCCAACUGGAAAAAAAUCAAGAUAAUAUGACAUUCAAAGUCCCAAAAAACGCUGAACUUUGAUUAAGAUCACAUGCUUUGUUGUCUUGAUUUUACAAAGGAAAAACUUGGAAGCACCAAACACUGUGGAAAGUAAGCUGGAAUCAGAUAAUCCCACUUCAAAAAAAAGUGCAACCCCCAAACAUUGUUUGCUCCCCUAAAGAUAUUGAAAUCUCAAAAAAAGAGUCAAGUAUUGUGAGUGUUGACCGGUUCUUGGCUUCUCACAAUAAUAACGUAGGGAUGAAGAGAGGAUAGCAGGAACUGAAACGACACCGCAAGGACGAGUUGAAUAUUAACAAUACAAAAUAUCUUUAUGUAGAAAUUUUCAUCCAAUCUUUGAACAACUCUUCAUCUUCUCCUCUUCUCAACAGAGAUAGUCCAAGUUCAAGUUUGUGUAGUCUCCUGUUGUUUAAAUUACAUGUAAGUUGUUCAUAAUUUUUUUGGUCUUUCUCUUAUAUAUAUAUAUAUAAGAAGUAAUAUAUCUUUUGUCCUUUCUGAUUCAUAUAGCUAUCUGUUACGAAUUAUAAUUUCAAGAAAGUUUGAUUAACAUGUUUAUUUUUUUAUUUUAUUUACAUCAUUUCAGUUGAGUUUGUCUAUAUAAAUCUGGUGUCCACAUAUACAUUAUUGAGAUGGUGUCGAUAUGAUUUAUUUAAAGUAGACUACUUUAGUGAAUCUAUCUCAAUCGGUGUCUCUUAUUAUCUUGGGAGUUUAUAUAGGCAGUAACUGAUCACUCCAACUUAAUUUUGUUUGUGUUGGUGUGUAGCACAUUUUUUUUCUCUGAAUUUUAUGUUGUAGCAUUAAUUUAGAUGAAUACUUCUUGUUAAUUGGUAACAAAUAUGAAAUAGAACAGAGUUAUAUGGUUGUCCCCAAUCUUUAAGAACUAUUUGUUGUUUGUUUCUCUCUUUGACUGUUGACUUUAAAUAAUGUAUUAGUAAUGUCACGACUCAAAACGCGUCGUGAGUGUCACCCACAUUUAUCUUCCUAUGUGAGCGAACCAACCAAUCUAAACCCCAACAUUUCAAACAUAAUAAAUAGAAAACAAUGCGGAAGACUUAAAACUCAUUAACAAAAUCAAUAAUCAACUUCUAAAACUCAAAAAUUAUCAUUAUCCCCAAAAUCUUGAAGUCAUCAUCACAAGACAUCUAUCCACAAAUUACUAAUCUAAGAGUAUCUAAGAAGCUAAAAUAAGUAAAAAGCUAGUCCAUGCCGGAAGUUCAAGUCAUCAAGACAUGAAAAAGAAGAUCCAGUCCAAGUUAGAAGCAUUAGCUCACCCUGAAAUCUGGUGUGACGAAGACUGGCUAGAGUUGUGGUUGAGUUGAAGAUGACGGUACGUUUGCUGCACUCCACAAAUAACAAAGGAAGAUAAUUACAAGUAGGGGUCAGUACAAACACAAGUACUGAAUAGAUAUCAUCGGCCAACUCAAAUAGAAACAAUAUAUAUCAAAUAAUAUCAUAAAUUCAACUACAAUACUCAACAUGCGGCAAUUUACAAGUACCAUAACCCUUGGUCACAACACCAAGCACAUCAAUGAGGACUCACGCCUCCCCAUUAUACUCAUUUGGGAUAUAGGUUCUUUUAAUUCGAAUUUAUUAACAUAAUUUCAAGAUUCAUUAUCUUUAUUCCUCUUGUAUCGGUACGUGACACUCCGAUCCCCUAAUUCUACGUGUCGGUUCGUGACACCCGAUCCCCUAAUUCUACGUGUUGGUUCGUGACACCCGAUCCCCUAAUUUCUACGUGUCGGUUCGUGACACCCGAUCCCCUAAUUCUGCGUGUCGGUUCGUGACACCCGAUCCCCUAAUUCUACGUGUCGGUUCGUGACACCCGAUCCCCUAAUUCUACGUGUCGGUUCGUGACACCCGAUCCCCUAAUUCUACGUGUCGGUUCAUGACACCCGCUCCACUAAUCUAAUUCUAUUAAUUCAUCAAGCCUUCUUUAUACCAAAGCAUCAUCAAUCUCAUUACUUUAGUUCAUCAAGCCUUCUCUUAUACCAAGGCAUCAUCAAUCUCAUUACUUUAGUUCAUCAAGCCUUCUUUUAUAAGAAGGCAUUAUCAAUCUCAUUACUUUAGUUCAUCAAGCCUUCUUUUAUACCAAGGCAUCAUCAUUAACAAGGUAAAUUUAGGAUUAGAGAUUCAAUAGACUCAUCAUGCUUAUUCAUCACAAUUAUAUAAUCACAUCAUGUAAGCACACAAUUAAGCAUAUAGAAGGUUUUAUAAUACGACCCAACACAUAUCAUUUGCUAUUAAGAGUCUACUACGAAUAGCAUAAAAACCAUAACCUACCUCCACCGAAGAUUCGUGAUCAAGCAAGCAAUUUCCCAAAGCUUUGUUUCCUCUUCGUUUCCCUAUUCUCUCGAUCGUUCUCUUUCCCUCUCCUUGUUCUUUCUAUUUUUCUUAUUCAAACCCUCUUUCUUUUACCCUAAUUAACAUAUAAUUAAGUAUGAAAGAUGAUUAAUUAACCCAUUAAUUAAUUCAAGGUUAUCUCCUUUAACCCUCAAGUAGUUAAAUUAUUAACAUUAGCCCACUAAAUUUAUAAUUAUAGCAGGAAUAGUCCAAAACGUCCCUUAAAACAUUUAAAGAAAUCCGACCCAGCCUGGGAUUACGCAGCCUGUGACGGGCCGUCGUGCCUGCGACGGUCCGUCCUGCUGAGUCGUCACAGAGUUUAGAGACUCAAUUCCUUGAAGAGUGUGUGAUGGUCCGUCGUGCCCACGACGGUCCGUCCUGCCAUGUCGUCACGAAGUUCAGAGAGUCGAUUUCAGUAUCCAAAUUUCAGAAAUUCUAAGUGUUUUGGAACGAGACCCCCUCGACGGUCCGUCGUGCCCAUGACGGUCCGUCGUGGGAUCCGUCGACCAAGACAGUUUUUCUAGAAAUAAAAUCUGCUGCUCAAAAUGACUAAACAGGUCGUUACAAUAGAUACCAAUUUACCCAUCGUUCGUCCUCAAACGAUCAUUAGAAGAAAAUCAAGGGCGAAAAGGAGUACCUGAAUAUGUAAACAGGUGUGAGUAUCUUUCUUGCAUAUCUGCCUCCUUCUCCCAAGUGGCUUCUUCAACUGGUCGAUUCUUCCAUUGAACUUUGAUGGAUGUAAUCUCCCUUGACCUCAGCUUGCGAACUUCUCUAUCUAAAAUAGCAACAGGUUCCUCCUCAUAAGAAAAAUUCUCAUCAAGCAAAACUGAAUCCCAACGGAUAAUGUAGUUUCCAUCCCCAUGGUAUCUUUUCAACAUAGACACAUGAAACACCGGAUGCACUCCUGACAGUCCUGGAGGCAAGGCUAAUUCAUAAGCCACCUCCCCUACUCGCUUAAGUACUUCAAAUGGUCCAAUAUACCUUGGGCUUAGCUUACCUCUUUUACCAAACUGCAUCACCCCUUUCAUGGGCGAAACCUUCAGCAAGACUUGCUCACCCUCCAUAAACUCCAAGUCUCUAACCUUUCGAUCGGCAUAUUUCUUUUGCCUACUUUGCGCCGCUAAAAGCUUUUCUUGAAUAGAUUUCACUUUCUCUAAUGAAUCCCUCAAAAGGUCAGUACCCCAAGGUCUAACCUCAAAUGCAUCAAACCAACCAAUGGGAGACCUACAUCUCCUCCCAUACAAUGCUUUGAAUGGAGCCAUAUCAAUACUUGAGUGAUAGAUAUUAUUGUAUGAAAACUCCGCUAAGGGUAAGAAGUUAUCCCAAUGACCACCAAAUUCUAUCACACAUGCACGAAGAAUAUCCUCCAACACUUGAAUCAUUCGCUCAGACUGACUAUCGUUCUGAGGGUGAAAUGCAGUACUAUGGUCCAACCUAGUACCUAAUUCAGCAUGCAAUGUUCUCCAAAACUUAGAAGUAAACUGCGUACCUCUAUCUGAUAUGAUGGAGAGUGGAACUCCAUGCAAUCGAACGAUUUCUGAGAUAUAGAUUUUGGCUAACUUCUCUGCAUUGUAGGUCACCUUGACCGGAAUGAAGUGAGCAGACUUAGUUAACCUGUCAACGAUUACCCAAAUGGAGUCAUACUUACUCAUUGUCUUUAGAAGACCAACCACGAAGUCCAUUGUAAUCCUUUCCCACUUCCAUUCAGGAAUGGGCAUUCUCUGAAGUGUUCCUCCGGGCCUCUGGUGUUCAUAUUUUACUUGCUGACAAUUUGGACAUUUGACAAUAAAAUCAACAAUGUCAUGCUUCAUUCUACUCCACCAAAAAUGUUGCUUUAGGUCACGAUACAUCUUUGUUGCACCAGGAUGUAUAGAGUACCUUGAACUAUGAGCCUCUGUCAGAAUAGUGUUGAUCAAAUUAUCAAUACGGGGUACACAUACCCUUCCCUUGAUUCUCAAAACACCUUCCUCAUUGAUUUGUGCUUCCUUAGACUCUCCUCGCAAUACUUUAUCUUGGAUCCGGAUCAGUUUCUCAUCGGUAAACUGCUUUCCUUUAAUUUUGUCAAGAAAAGAAGAUCUUGCCUCCACACUGGCCAAAAAUCCUCCCUUCUCAUUUACUUCUAGCCUCAUAAAGUUAUUAGCCAGAGUCUGAACUUCUCUAGCCAAUGGGCGUCUAGAAACUUGCAAGUGAGCUAGACUUCCCAUGCUUCCUGCCCUUCUACUUAAGGCGUCUGCCACAACAUUAGCCUUUCACGGAUGAUACAAGAUAGUGAUGUCGUAGUCCUUCAGUAGUUUCAUCCAUCUCCUCUGUCUCAAGUUCAAAUCUUUUUGGGUAAAGACAUACUGUAGGCUACGAUGAUCCGUGUAGACUUCACACUUAACCCCAUAUAAAUAAUGUCUUCAUUGCUUUAAUGCAAACACUACUGCAGCCAAUUCCAAAUCAUGGGUCGGAUAAUUACGCUCAUGCACCUUUAAUUUCCUUGAAGCAUAAGCAAUUACGUUCUUCUCUUGCAUUAGCACUGCACCCAAACCCGAAUAGGAUGCAUCACAAUAGACAAUGAAAUUCUUACCUUCCACUGGAAGGGUAAGGAUUGGUGCAGUAGUCAACAAGGUCUUGAGUGUCUGAAAGCUUUCUUCACACUCGUCUGACCAUACAAAUGGAACAUUCUGUUUAGUCAAGCUUGUCAAUUGGGAAGCAAUAGAAGAGAACCCCUUGACAAAUCAACGGUAGUAGCUAGCUAAACCAACAAAGCUCCUUACUUCUGACACAUUAGUAGGUAUUUCCCAACUCUUUGCUGCUUCGAUCUUAGAAGGAUCCACCAUCACUCCAUCCUUGGAAACUACGUGCCCCAAGAAGGACACUGAAUCUAGCCAAAACUCACACUUAGAAAAUUUGGUAUAAAGCUUUCUCUCCCUCAGUAUUCCAAUACCAUUCUCAAGUGCUCCUCAUGUUCUUUCUUUCUCUUUGAGUAUACCAGUAUAUCAUCAAUGAACACGAUGACAAAGAGAUCCAAAUAGGUCUUAAAAAUUCCGUUCAUUAAACUCAUGAACGCAGCAGGGGCAUUCGUAAGCCCAAAAGACAUUACUAAGAACUCAUAAUGUCCGUAUCUGGUCCGAAAAGCAGUCUUGGGCACAUCCGUUGCCCGUAUUUUCAGUUGAUGAUCACCAGACCUCAAAUCGAUUUUUGAGAAGGUACAAGCACCUUGUAACUGAUCGAACAAAUCAUCAAUGCGAGGAAGAGGAUACUUGUUCUUAGUAGUUACCUUGUUCAACUGUCUGUAGUCUAUGCACAUCCGAAAGCUUCCAUCCUUCUUCUUCACAAACAAAACAGGAGCACCCCAAGGAGACGCACUUGGUCUAAUGAAGCCUUUGCUCAACAACUCUUGAAGUUGGGCCUUUAACUCCCUUAACUCAGCGGGAGCCAUUCUAUAAGGGGGUAUAGAAAUGGGGCGAGUACCCGGUUCAAGAUCGAUGCAGAAGUCAAUAUCUCUAUCCGGUGGCAUACCAGGAAGGUCUGCAGGAAACACAUCUAAAAACUCGCGAACUAUCGAAACCGACUCAAUUGAAGGUACUUGGGUAGUAUCAUCCCUGAGAUGUGCCAAGAACGCUAAACAACCCUUACUAACCAUUUUCUUAGCACGAAGAAAGGAGAUGAUACGAACCGGAUUGGAAGUGUAGUCACCCUCCCACACUAACGGAUCUGUCCCAGGCUUGGCUAGCGUCACAAUUUUAGCAUUACAAUCCAAGAUCGCAAAAUUCGGAGAAAGCCAAGUCAUACCCAGAAUUACAUCAAAAUCAACCAUUUCUAAGAUAACCAAGUCUACAUAAGUAUUGCUCCCCACAAAAGUCACCAAACAAGACCUAUAUACUUUUUCAACUAUCACAGACUCACCCACCGGAGUAGACACACGAAUAGGUAUGUCAAGCAAUUCACAAUGUAAAUUAAGACCAGUAGCAAAUGAGGAAGAUACAUAUGAAAAUGUGGAGUCGGGAUCAAAUAAUACAGAAGCCAUUCAAUCACAAACCAAAAGAUUACCUGUGAUAACAACAUCUGAUGUCUCCGCUUUCGACCGCCCAGGAAAAGCGUAACAAUGGGACCUAUCACCUGUUUGCCCGUUGCCCCUACCAUGUUGCGCUGCAGUAGUUCCCAUUUGUCCGUCACCCCGGCCGUUUUGGUGACCACCAUUACCUCGGCCACCACGUCCUCCAGAAUAACGACCUCUACCAUGACCACCUCUACCUCUAGCUAUUGGGGGCUAUAACUCUGUUUUGGACAAUUCCUCCUAAUAUGUCCAGUCUCCCCAUGUCCAUAACACUCUCUGGAGUCAAGCAUAGGUCUCUUAGAGAAGUGUUGACCGGUAUGAGGUGGACCCCCAACUACAGUCUGUAGUGAAUACUGAAUUGGUCAGACUGAGUAACCUCCUGAACUCUGUCCUCUAUAGUAAGAACCAAUAAACUCACAUCCCUUUCGAAACCUUUUUGAUGUGGAUGCCAUGGUGAAGUCACUGGCUUCACUCCUUCCACCUCUAUCACGAAGUCUACCACUUCUUGAAAGGAUUUUGCCGUAGCCGCUACCUGUAAGGCUGAAAUCCGCAAUUCUGACCUCAACCCCUUUACAAAAUGGCGAAUCCGCUCUUGUGGAGUGAAACAAAAUUGGGUGGCAUACCUAGAUAAUGCACGAAACUUAGCCUCAUAUGCAGUAACCGACAUCCUACCUUGCUAUAGGAUCAAGAACUCAUCUCUUUUCCUAUCCCUCAAAGUCUGGGGGAUAUACUUCUCCAUAAACAAGCUAGAGAAUGAUGCCCAAGUCAUAGGUGGUGCCUCUGUUGGUUGACACUCAACAUGUGACCGCCACCAUAUUUUGGCGUUCCCUUGAAACUGAUAAGUCACAAACUCAACAUCAAACCGUUCUACUAUACCCAUCUUGAGUAGUAGCUCAUGACAGUCAACUAGAAAAUCAUAGGCAUCCUCAGAUUCAGCACCCUUGAAGACUGGAGGUUUCAAUUUCAAGAACUUGCUGAAAAGUUCAUGCUGAUCAUUUGUCAUUAUAGGCCCUGUAGUCAGACGAGGAAACGUGCCUAUUUCCAAUGAGGCAUCCAUGCGGGGAGCCACAGUAGCUGCAUGUUGUACCUCCGGAACCUGAGGUGCUGGUGCAGAAAACACUGGAGGUGUCUGGCCCUGAUCAGAUAACCCGCUAAGAUAAGCAAGAACCUGAUUGAUCAUCUCUAGGGUAGGUUGGGGUGGAAACCCCUCAUUCUGUACUUGUUCAUUCUCCCCUUCCUCACCCUCUCUUACCACUUCCUCAGUCGGUGGAGGAGUCACCGCCCUAGUACCAGAUGGGCUAGGUGCUUGUCCUCUUCCUCUAGAGGACGUCCUCCCACGACCUCUUCCACGGCCUCUUGCCACUACUCCUCUUCGAGCUACAGCCCCAGUGGCUGGCUCAGACUCUUCUUGUCUUGCCGGUGUUGGUGUUGGCGCAGUCUUUGCUCUAGUUCUAACCAUCUGCGAAAUAGAGUGAAGAUGGUCAGAUACCAAUUUGUAUCACCUAGAUACCAAUUGGACCCAAGUAAUAGCACGAAAGAAAGAAACAAAGAAUGGAAUUUUCCUAAAGUCUUAUAGCCUCUCAAGGAAAAGUAAAGGCGUCCCCCUACCGUUCCUUAAGACUCUACUAAACUCGUUCUUGUGUGAUGAGACCAACGAACCUAAUGCUCUGAUACCAAGUUUGUCAUGACCCAAAGCGCAUCGUGAGUGGAACCCACAUUUAUCCUCCUAUGUGAGAGAACCAACCAAUCUAAACCCCAACAUUUCAAACAUAAUAAAUAGAAAACAAUGCGAAAGACUUAAAACUCAUUAACAAAAUCAAUAAUCAACUUCUAAAACUCAAAACUUAUCAUUAUUCCCAUAAUCUGGAAGUCAUCGUCACAAGAACAUCUAUCCUCAAAUUACUAAUCUAAGAGUAUCUAAGAAGCUAAAAUAAGUAAAAAUCUAGUCCAUGCCGAAAGUUCAAGGCAUCAAGACAUGAAGAAAAAGAUCCAGUCCAAGCUAGAAGCAUUAGGUCACCCUGAAAUCUGGUGUGACGAAGACUAGCUAGAGUUGCGGUUGAGUUGAAGAUGACGGUACGUUUGCUGCACUCCACAAAUAACAAAGGAAAAAAAUUACAAGUAGGGGUCAGUACAAACACAAGUACUGAGUAGAUAUCAUCGGCCAACUCAAAAUAGAAACAGUAUAUAUCAGAUAAUAUCACAAAUUCAACUACAAUACUCAACAUGUGGCAAUUUACAUGUACCAUAACCCUUGGUCACAACACCAAGUACAUCAAUGAGGACUCACGCCUCCCCAUUAUACUCAUUUGGGAUAUAGGUUCUUUUUAUUCGAAUUUAUUAACAUAAUUUCAAGAUUCAUUAUCUUUAUUCCUCUUGUGUCGGUACGUGACACUCCGAUCCCCUAAUUUUACGUGUCGGUUCGUGACACCCGAUCCCCUAAUUCUACGUGUCGAUUGGUGACACCCGAUCCCCUAAUUUCUAUGUGUCGGUUCGUGACACCCGAUCCCCUAAAUCUGCGUGUCGGUUCGUGACACCCGAUCCCCUAAUUCUACGUGUCGGUUCGUGACACCCGAUCCCCUAAUUCUACGUAUCGGUUCGUGACACAUGAUCCCCUAAUUCUACUUGUCAGUUCGUGACACCCGCUCCACUAAUCUCAUUCUAUUAAUUCAUCACGCCUUCUUUUAUACCAAGGCAUCAUCAAUCUCAUUACUUUAGUUCAUCAAGCCUUCUUUUAUACCAAGGCAUCAUCAAUCUUAUUACUUUAGUUCAUCAAGCCUUCUUUUAUAACAAGGCAUCAUCAAUCUCAUUACUUUAGUUCAUCAAGCCUUUUUUUAUACCAAGGCAUCAUCAUUAACAAGGUAAAUUUAGGAUUAGAGAUUCAAUAGACUCAUCAUGCUUAUUCAUCACAAUUAUAUAAUCACAUCAUGUAAGCACACAAUUAAGCAUAUAGAAGGUUUUAUAAUACUACCCAACACAUAUCAUUCGCUAUUAAGAGUCUACUACGAAUAGCAUAAAAACCAUAACCUACCUCAACCGAAGAUUCGUGAUCAAGCAAGCAAUUUUCCAAAGCUUUGUUUCCUCUUCGUUUCCCUCUUCUCUCGAUCGUUCUCUUUCCCUCUCCUUGUUCUUUCUAUUUUUCUUAUUCAAACCCUCUUUCUUUUACCCUAAUUAACAUAUAAUUAAGUAUGAAAGAUGAUGAAUUAACCCAUUAAUUCAAGGUUAUCUCUUUUAACCCUCAAGUAGUUAAAUUAUUAACAUUAGCCCACUAAAUUUAUAAUUAUAGCGGGAAUAGUCCAAAACGUCCUUUAAAACAUUUAAAGAAAUGCGAUCCAGCCUGGGAUUACGCAGUCUGUGACGGGCCGUCGUGCCUGCGACGGUCCGUCCUGCUGAGUCGUCACAGAGUUCAGAGACUCAAUUCCUUGAAGAGUCUGUGACGGUCCGUCGUGCCUGCGACGGUCCGUCCUGCCAUGUCAUCACGAAGUUCAUAGAGUCGAUUUCAGUAUUCAAAUUUCAAAAUUCUAAGUGUUUUGGAAUGAGACCCCCUCGACGGUCCGUCGUGCCCAUGACGGUCCAUCGUGGGAUCCGUCGACCAAGAUAGUUUUUCCAGAAAUAAAAUCUGCUGCUCAAAACGACUAAACAGGUCGUUACAACAACUAAAGAAGAAAACAAACAACAAAUAAAGUAGGUAUAUUUGCUUUUCUACAAAAUUAAAAUUAUUAAUAACUAAUUAAGAUUAUUUAUUUUGUUUGUUCAAACAAAUAAAUGUCUAAACUAACCAUUAAUUUUAAAUUUUUUCAUUAAUUAUCAAAAUAGGUGUCAAUUAGCUCUUAGUAAUUAUAUAUCGAGUAUAAUAUUAGGUGUAAUCAAUUAAAAUUAAAAUUAAAAUUAAUAUAUUUAUUUAAAUUUUGUGUAUUAAAAUAUUUUUAGAUUUUGUGAUCGUAAAUAUGCUAUAUAAAAAAAUCAAAAAUUAGAAGUUAUUUUCUUUUUGAGAUGAAAUAAGAAAAAUAAGUUCAUAUAAAAUGAAAAAGAGGAAUCAUAUAUUAAAAUUAAAUAUAUAUGUGUUAUUAUUAAAAUGAGCUUUCAUAUAUUUUUUUUAUUAAAAUUCUUUCGGUUUCCUCCUAUUAAUUUGUGCAUAUAUAUGGAGUUUUAAAGAUUUGGAUAUUUUAAUAUAAAAAUAUAAUGAUUUGAAAACUUUAAUUCUUUGUUUUAAUUUCUAAUUGUUUACAUAUUUAAAAAUUACAUUAAAAAAACUUAAAUUCUCAAUGUAACAGUUCAAGAUAUUUUUUAAAAAACAUAAUUAAAAAUCAUAAUGAAAUUUGGUUGAUUCCCUUAUUUUUAUCGAAACAAAAGAAAAUUUCAUAUAUCAUUUGAAAAUGACGUAAGAACUAAAAAUCACAGAAAAAUGACAAUUAAAAAUAUGUGAGAAUCAUAUAAGAAAUUAUGUUGACUUUCCUAAAAUCACUUGUAUCAUAUAAAAUGAAACGGAUGGAGUAACAUAUAUUAUUUGAAAAUUGACAUAAAAGGUACAUAAAUCAACAAUUCAAAAUAUUUUAAACAAAAACGCAUAUAACAAAUUUAGUUUACUUUUUUAAAUUUCAGUUGUAUCACAUAAAUUUGAAGAAAAGAACUAACAUACGUUGGACCCGCAUUGGCGCGGGCACCUAAUAUCUAGUAUUUCUAUUAUAUAGAAGAGCCAAGUUGAGGACGACCAAGGGCAAUUUUGUCAUUUCACAAAUAUUUUUGAAUGUUUGUUUUAUGCUAUGACAUCAAAAAAGUGGUAAUAGAUUUAUAAUAACAAUACAACCAAAUAUCUUUUCUUAAAUGACAUAUGUAUCAUAAUCAUAUGACAAUUAAUUUGGAUCCACAUUUUCUAUAAAUAAAAAAAAUGUGUUAAAUUUUUAUUAAACCAAAAAUAUCUAUUAAACAAUGACAUUUUAGUAAUUUUAGAUUAUUUAAGUGUGAAAUAAUAAUUGUAUAAUAAAUAACCAAAAUGAAAAUCUAGAAGAAUCCAUACAUGUCUUUACUUUUAAAGUUGACCCAUAAAGAUAUUUUUAUAAUUGUGUUAAAAUGAAGUGUUUCAAUUAAUUAACUUUUUACAAAAAAUAAUAAAUGCUAAGCUUGUUUUGACAUGUUUUUGAAAUAAAAUUUUGAACUAAUUUAAACUAUAAUGUGUUUAAAUAGUUAAUAUUUUAUUUCCUAAAAAUACUUUAAAGAAAAGUUUUAACUCAUAAUUUAAUGUAAUUCUCUAUUUUCUUGCUGCAUAUAAAUUUCGAAAUUCAACUUUUUCAAUUUGGAUUGUAAACGACGCAUUUAUGUCAUAUAAACAUAUGCAAAAUAUUAUUAAGUAAUAUAUUGAAGUUGUAAACUGUAAAAAAAAUUAUAUAAAACAUAGAAAUCUCAUAUAGAGUGAAGUUGAGGACGACCAAGGGCAAUUUUGUCAUUUUACAAAUAUUUUUGAAUGUUUGUUUUAUGCUAUGACAUCAAAAAAGUGGUAAUAGAUUUAUAAUAACAAUACAACUAAAUAUCUUUUCUUAAAUGACAUGUGUAUCAUAAUAAUAUGACAUUUAAUUUGGAUCCACAUUUUCUAUAAAUAAAAAAAAAUUGUGUGUGAAAUUUUCAUUUAACCAAAAAUAUCUAUUAAAGAAUGACAUUUUAGUAAUUUUAGAUUAUUUAAGGGUGAAAUAAUAAUUGUAUUUUAAAUGACCAAAAUGAAAAUCUAGAAGAAUCCAUACAUGUCUUUACUUUUAAAGUUGACCCAUAAAGAUAUUUUUAUAAUUGACGCAUUUAUGUCAUAUGAACAUAUGCAAAAUAUUAUUAAGUAAUAUAUUGAACUUGUAAACUGUAAAUUUUUUUAUAUAAAACAUAGAACUCUUAUAUAUUUAGAGGCUAAUUACAUCCUAUCCCAGAAGUUUUCUUAAUUACAAAAAUCUCAUACUUUUCAUUGCUCUCGAAUACAUUCCUUGAUUGUAUGAUAUAUUACUAAUGAUAUAUAUAUUACUUCAUGGGAGGGAUGCAUUCAAGAGGGGAUAUCUAUGUAUUCGAGAGAGGGUGGAUGUAUCCGGAGGGAAUAAGAAUAUAUGUGAGAGAGGAUUAUGAUAAUUUAAAUUGUGAAUGACAAUAUUGUAAUUUUAAAUAUUAUUUAUGGGCAAAUUUAUAACUUUAUAAUUGCAUAAUUAGUGGUCAAAAUAAUUUUUUAGUAUUAUAUAGAAGAGCCAAGUUGAGGACGACCAAGGGCAAAUUUAUCAUUUCAUAAAUAUUCUAGAAUGUUUAUUUUUAUGUUAUGGCAUCAAAAAAGUGGUAAUGGAUUUAUAAUGAUAAUACAACCAAAUAUAUUUUCUUAAAUGACAUAUGUAUCCUAAUGAUAUGACAUUUAUAUGGACUCACAUUUUCAAUCACAUUUUCUAUAGAUUUUUUGUUCUUUUUAUUUUGUAGUGUGAAACUUUCAUCAAACCAAAAAUAUAGGGAGAAAUAAUAAUUGUAUAACUAAUGACAAAAAUGAAAAUCUAAAAGAAUCCAUACAUAUCUUUACUUUUAAAAUUUUCCCAUAAAGAUAAUUUUAUAAUUGUGUUAAAUUAAAGAGUUUCUGUUAAUUAACUUUUUUACAAACAAGAAUAAACGCUAAUUAAGCUUGUUUUGACAUGCUUUUGAAAGAAAAUUUUGAAUUCAUUUAAAAUAAAAUGUGUUUGAAUAGUUAAUAUUUUGUUCCUAAAUUUGAUUUCUAUCAUAUAGAAGCAUGAAGAAGAGGACGACCACAACUUAAUCUUAUUGUACAUUGUGCAGAAAAUGUUGUACAAAAUUUUAGGUUUAGUUAUUUAAAAUAAAAGUAAGCGUAUAUUUGUCUUUUUAUUCUGUUCUUGUCUUCUAUAAUUUUCUCGAUCAUUCUUAACUUUUUCAAUCUUUUUUAGCAUUUCAAUAAUAAUAAAUAUUACAUUUCACUCAAGUUCCAAAGGGAUCAGACAACUCAAAUAUGCUUGAUUGGCUAUUCAAUGGAUUACUAUUAUGUAUGUUUUUGGUUAAUAUGCCUUCUUUUCAUUGUAGAGGUAAAAGAGAAACAAGGAGGGACUUAAAUUUGGAAAACAAUUCAAUGGUAUUGAAAAAGAGAAGAGCCAAGCUGAGGACGAUCAAGAACAAAUUUGUCAUUUCAUAAAUAUUCUAGAAUGUUUAUUUUUAUGUUAUGGCAUCAAAAAAGUGGUAAUGGAUUUAUAAUGACAAUAUAAUCAAAUAUAUUUUCUUAAAUGCCCUAAUGAUGUGAUUUUAUAGGACUCACAUUUUCUAUCACGUUUUUUUCUUUUAAUUUUGUAGUGUGAAACUUUCAUUAAACCAAAAAUAUAGGACGAAAUAAUAAUUAUAUAAUUAAUGACAAAAACAAAAAUCUAAAAGAAUUCAUACAUAUCUUUACUUUUAAAAUUCACCCAUAAAGAUAUUUUUAUAAGUGUAUUAAAAUGAAGAGUUUUUGUUAAUUAACUUUUUACAAACAAUAAAAAACACUAAUUAAGCUUGUCUUAACCUGUUUUUGAAAGAAAAUUUUGAACUAAUUUAAAAAUAGAAUGUGUUUGAAUAGUUAAUAUUUUUUUCCUAAAUUUUAUUUCUAUUAUGCAGAAGAAUGAAGAAGAGGACGACCACAACUUAAUGUUAUUGUACAUUGUGCAGGAAAUGUUGUACAAAAUCUUAGGUUUAGUUAUUUAAAAUAAAAGUAAGCGUAUUUUUGUCUUAUUAUUAUGUUCUUGUAUUCUACCAUUUUCUCGAUCAUUCUUAAUUUUUUCAAUCUUUUUUAGCAUUUCAAUAAUAAUACAUAUUACAUUUCACUCUAGUUCUCUAGUGAUCAGACAACUCAAAUAUGCUUAAUUGGCUAUUCAAUGGAUUACUAUUAUAUAUGUUUUUGACUAAUAUGCCUUCUUUUCAUUGUAGAGGUAAAAGAGAAACAAGGAGGGACUUAAAUUUGGAAACUAAUUCAAUGGUAUUGAGAAAGAGAAGAGGCAAGUUGAGGACGAUCAAGGGCAAAUUUGUCAUUUCAUAAAUAUUCUAGAAUGUUUAUUUUUAUGUUAUGGCAUCAAAAAAGUGAUAAUGAAUUUAUAAUGACAAUACAAUCAAAUAUAUUUUCUUUAAUGUCAUGUGUAUCCU
RNAcentral lists this long non-coding RNA (14820 nucleotides) under Solanum lycopersicum (tomato). RNAcentral describes it as "long non-coding RNA (SLYC_LNC001024)". Lineage: Eukaryota; Viridiplantae; Streptophyta; Magnoliopsida; Solanales; Solanaceae. The record is from RNAcentral.